AACCAGCACUUUGAUGUUACUACGGAGAACAAAGACAGAGAAAGAAAAGAGCGGCGAAUGUCCGCGCGUAACGCGAGGGCUUUCUUGAAGCUGCGAGUAAAAAGGGGGGAGUAGGAUAACCAUGCUUCUCGAGUAUCGCUACGUGAGAACGAGCUGAUUAUUCAUCGUUCUACGGAAACGUUCGGGCACUGAUAAUGUUGCCGCUCUGGCAUGCAUCCUGAUAAUCCUUUCUAUCAUUAAUUCUUCAUAUAUGAAACGAAACAGUAUAUUAAUAAAAUUUCAUUCGUUAAAUGAUACGGUAUAUUUACAUCAUUGCGUUACGUAGGUUAGACUUUCCUUGGAUUCUUCCAUCUCUCCUUGGAAUCUCCCGGUCUUUACCAUUCUCCCUAGGAUCUUCAUAGUAGGCGCUCCCGAUUCUCUGUAGACUCUUCCAUCCUUCCUAGAAUUUUUUUAGGUCUUUCUAGGCACUUCCAAUUUUCUCUAAACUUUCUAGGAUUAUCCAAAAUUUUUCUAAGCUCUCCCAAAAAUUUCGCUAAAACCAUCAUAGGCUUUUUCGGAUUUUUUUGAGUUUUCACAUUUUUCUUAAGAUGUUCUUGAGAUCUUUGUAAGUGUUCUCGAUUCUUCCUAAGGAGGGGACUUUCUAGAUUUUGCCACUCUCCCUAAAUCUAAGGGUGCUCUUAGUUCUCCCUAGGCUAUCCCAUUCUUCUCAAAAUGUCCCUAGAAUCUUUAUUGGUAUUUUUAGUUUUUCCUAGGCUCUUUUACUAAAAUCUAGAAGCUUUCUAUACUACUGUAAGCGAAUCUCAAUAAUAAAAAAUAUUCAUCAAGUUGCCAACGAGUCAGACAGUUUUUAAUAAUGAAAAAUGAAUGGAAAAUUAAUUACUGCAGAACAUUGUCGAGACAAGUUUAAAAAUUAACUUUUUGAAAAUGAAUUCACAAUUGGUUGUACACAUUAUUGUAUGCAAAUCAAUAUUAAUUAUUUAUUUUAAUAACUGAUGGGGAAACUGCUCUUAUCGAAGAAAUUUUUCUUGUUGGGUCAUGAGACUACUGUAUUAUACGGUGCAAAAUUGUAUUUGUUGUGCAACUAAAAAUAUUGUAACAGUUAAAGAAAAAUUUCUAUAAUUCAUGAGCGUACAAGAAAAUAUUUUGUAAACUGUUGAUUUACUGUAAGUGACAUAAAUGUGGACCACCAUGAUAUUAAAUUAAAAUAUGAGGUUUCUACGUCUUCCUUCGAGCAAGGAUGUUCUAUCCAGCUGACUGCAAUUUGAAAGGUCAAAAUCUAAUUUCCUCAGUUACAAAAUGAAACUUAUUACAACAGCCGCUGAUUUCAUAAAAUGUCCGUCCACCAAGGGGGCCGAGGGCAAUAAAAAAUAAAGCCUCUCCGUCGUCGUAUCACGUUAAUUUUAAAUAUUGUCAGCGCGCAAUUAGUUUGAGCGGUAAAGUCGGCAAUCUUAUCUUUCUUUGUCCGUUCUCACAAAACGGGUAGACCGCAGCAAGUACCAUAUUGUAAUCUACGAUACCACUUGUUCAUUGUAACAGCAACGCGCGUUAUAGGUCAUGCCUUUUUUUUCCACGUACGUACUAUUACCACUAUGUUGAAGACUCACAAGAUGGGGAGAAUCUACCAUUUUGUUUACUACUGUUCACCAUUUGUUUACCGAGGAAGACUAGGGGUCUAUAGGAGCCGAAGAGAUGAACAGUGACGGAUCCAGAGAGGAUACAAUGGAGUCUCCGCAACAAAUUAAUUCGUAUUACAAAAUAAAAUUACUUUUCUCUUCUCAAUUUUAUAUAAUGCAUAAAUAAUUCCUCUGAACAUUAUCACCGAAUUUAGACAAACAUCGUGCAAAGGAUUCAUGUAUAUCUCUCCUGAAGAGUACAACUUUUGGAUCCGCCCCUGGAGAUGAAACCCUAUAAUUACAAGAGUAUGCAACGCUGCGAUAAUUUUGAAAUUGUCGUAACAAAAUAAGUUCCAUGAUUGAACUUAACCACUCGUCAUCAUACCAAAAAACCUAUGUCCAACACUUUCAAUUACCCGAAGUAUACGUACAAUUACAUUGUCGUCCAUAAGUAUUAGGAUAAGUAUUAGGAUACGAUUUUAAUGAAUUAAGUACAUCUCCAAUUUUUUGUUACAUAGUUACCAUUAGAAUUUGGAAGUACAUUCGAAUGCAGUAGACUUUUGAUUAAAGGAGAAGCUGGGACCUCGGGGGAAGAUGUAGGGAAAGAUUUGGACCUAAGGGACCUAGGGAGUCAGAGAUAAUUCGAGGUGGUCUUAGGAAGAACUAGAGACUAUGAAAGGACCGGAGAACCAAGGAAAGCUAGGAAGAGCCAAGGAAAGCUGAGGAGAGCCAGGAAGAGCUAGGGAGAGCCAGGGAAAGCUAGGGAGAGCCAGGGAGAGCCAACGAAAUACCCGAAAGAUCCCAGAACAAGCUAAGGGUCGCAAAAUACCGAGAAAGUCAGCAUAACUCAAUCUCGAACCCUUUAUCCUCUUAAUUACAUUCCACAUCAUUUCUAAUAAUUUAUUCGUAUUUGAAUAAAAAAUAAAAAUUUGUGUCCUAAUACUUAUGGACGCCAAUGCAUAUCGAAAUUUUCAAGAUUACACAUGUAUAUACUUGUAUCAAAUUUUGUGUGUUCGAAUCACUUUUUGAAGAAAAAAAAAUAAGUGGGUGCUGACUGGUGUAGUAAACAAACUGGUGGUGCACAAUAUGAUUGAGUGGUGAUGUAUUAUGCUUUUCUAUCAUCUCGUGUAUAGAUUAUAAUUAAUCGUAAUAAUAAUAAUGAUGCGUAAUACUAAACAAGCCUUGUACACGCUCCAAGAAUCUAUUGAGAAAAAAGAAAAGAAAAAAUACAACAGAGGUAUACGCUUUGUUCCAUUCGAGUUUGUCAAAGUAUGAUUUGUUAAAAGCUAUGUUGUCUUUUUCUUUCUUUUCUUUUUAAAUCUUCCGCGGAGCGUAAAAGUAUUUCAAUGGAUUUAUAAAUAAAAUAGAAAACAAUGUUCUUAA
Megachile rotundata (alfalfa leafcutting bee) is the source of this 2996-nucleotide long non-coding RNA. The record is from RefSeq and is a predicted model, not a curated record. NCBI's taxonomy places the organism in Eukaryota, Metazoa, Arthropoda, Insecta, Hymenoptera, Megachilidae.